This 253-nucleotide ribosomal RNA is filed under the name uncultured bacterium. RNAcentral's name for it is "partial 16S ribosomal RNA". It matches the Rfam family "Bacterial small subunit ribosomal RNA", at positions 524 to 776 of the family's 1533-position model. The record is from RNAcentral.
UACCGAGGGUGCGAGCGUUGUCCGGAAUCACUGGGCGUAAAGGGCGCGUAGGUGGCGGCCCAAGUCCGUGGUGAAAGCUCGCCGCUUAACGGCGAGUCGGCCACGGAGACUGGGUGGCUCGAGCACUGUAGGGGCAGAUGGAAUUCCGGGUGUAGCGGUGGAAUGCGUAGAGAUCCGGAAGAACACCAGUGGCGAAGGCGACACGCUGGGCCGUACCUGACACUGAUGCGCGACAGCAUGGGGAGCAAACAGG